UAUUCUCGGCGUAGGGUACAGAGGUUAAGAUGUUCUAUCUUUCAGACCUUUAUUUCACUUUUAGUGAUCAGCCAAAUUCUGGCGCCCCAGCAAUCAUUUGCUGGGGCUUUUUUUC
This 115-nucleotide non-coding RNA is filed under the name Shewanella algae. RNAcentral also lists the same sequence under 1 other name. The record is from RNAcentral. Lineage: Bacteria; Pseudomonadati; Pseudomonadota; Gammaproteobacteria; Alteromonadales; Shewanellaceae.